GCCUCCAUCGUUGAACAGAAGUGGUGGUGCCAGAUGCAUCCGUGCCUCGAUGGGGAGGAAUGCAAAGUUCUUCCUGAUCUGAAGGGCUGGAGCUGCGCUACAGGGAACAAGAUAAAAACCACCAAGAUUUCUGCUGACAGAGACCAGCUUUGGUAACGUCAGAUGCUCCACUGCAAACCCCAGAUGAAACCUGCGCUGCGUUCCGGCGGAUCAUAAAAGGAGACGAGGACGAUUCAAAGGACCUGGCUGUAAAUAGAGACAUCUUUUAUUCUGGACUAGAAAUAAGCUUUUAAGAACUGAAGAAAUCCUCGUGAACUUGACGGACGUCGUCAUGAGGAGGACUGAACUUCCUGCUCUGCUUUUUUUAAAGGACUCCCCAUGAUUAGCCUUACUGGACAACAGGUUGAAGUCUCUGAUGUUGUACUGCUUGUAGUGGAACACAGAAACUAACUUUGUCUUUUUGUUCAUUUCAUGAGAAACUCGAAGUCUGCGGCUGGUCGAACGCAAAGUUCGUUUUAUUUGGGGGGGGGCAACGGAUCAUUGUGUCGUAUGACCCAACAGAUUAUCGGGUUCUCCAUUUACUUAUAACAUGUAAUACUCAAAGAAAUACUCUGAAUACUUAAGCUCUUCGCCAUCUUCAAACAAGGCACCGUUUAAACAUUACCGAAAGGAAAUGGAAUCUAUUCACAAUCUAUUUCUUCUACAUUUAGUUUCCUUAUAACCUGUAUUGCUGCUUUAAAGUUCAGCUUAUUUGGUAAGAUGUGUGUAAAUUCCAAAUAUUUGGUUUCCAUCUGGACGAUGACAGUGUUUCCAAAACUGUUUCCAACUAGUUACUCAAGUAUGGUUUGCUAAUGACCUUUAAGUGACUAUCGCUGACACUUCUUUAGCCUGUGUAAGUGAUGACAUUAGUAAUAAACGAUGGUGGUGUAGCUAAAGCUUGUGUGUUUUCACCGUCUGUGUGCUAACCCGUAGAGUCAG
Cyprinodon variegatus (sheepshead minnow) is the source of this 978-nucleotide long non-coding RNA. RefSeq lists it as uncharacterized. NCBI's taxonomy places the organism in Eukaryota, Metazoa, Chordata, Actinopteri, Cyprinodontiformes, Cyprinodontidae. The record is from RefSeq and is a predicted model, not a curated record. The transcript is spliced from 3 exons.